This 450-nucleotide ribosomal RNA is filed under the name uncultured bacterium. RNAcentral's name for it is "partial 16S ribosomal RNA". It matches the Rfam family "Bacterial small subunit ribosomal RNA", at positions 354 to 796 of the family's 1533-position model. The record is from RNAcentral.
GUGGGGAAUAUUGGACAAUGGGCGAAAGUCUGAUCCAGCCAUGCCGCGUGUGUGAAGAAGGUCUUCGGAUUGUAAAGCACUUUAAGUUGGGAGGAAGGGCAGUAAGUUAAUACCUUGCUGUUUUGACGUUACCGACAGAAUAAGCACCGGCUAACUUCGUGCCAGCAGCCGCGGUACUACGAAGGGUGCACGCGUUAAUCGGAAUUACUGGGCGUAACGCGCGCGUAGGUGGUUUUGUAAGUUGGAGGUGAAAUCCCCGGGCUCAACCUGGGAACUGCCUCCAAAACUGAAUGACUAGAGUGCGGUAGAGGGUAGUGGAAUUUCCUGUGUAGCGGUGAAAUGCGUAGAUAUAGGAAGGAACACCAGUGGCGAAGGCGACUACCUGGACUGAUACUGACACUGAGGUGCGAAAGCGUGGGGAGCAAACAGGAUUAGAAACCCUUGUAGUCC